CCUAUGGGCGGCAGCAGUGGGGAAUAUUGGACAAUGGGGGGAACCCUGAUCCAGCCAUGCCGCGUGUGUGAAGAAGGCCCUCGGGUUGUAAAGCACUUUCAGUGAGGAAGAACGCCUGGUGGUUAAUACCCAUCAGGAAAGACUUCACUCACAGAAGAAGCACCGGCUAACUCCGUGCCAGCAGCCGCGGUAAUACGGAGGGUGCGAGCGUUAAUCGGAAUUACUGGGCGUAAAGCGCGCGUAGGUGGCUUGAUAAGCCGGUUGUGAAAGCCCCGGGCUCAACCUGGGAACGGCAUCCGGAACUGUCAAGCUAGAGUGCAGGAGAGGAAGGUAGAAUUCCCGGUGUAGCGGUGAAAUGCGUAGAGAUCGGGAGGAAUACCAGUGGCGAAGGCGGCCUUCUGGACUGACACUGACACUGAGGUGCGAAAGCGUGGGUAGCAAACAGGAUUAGAUACCCGGGUAGUC
RNAcentral lists this ribosomal RNA (465 nucleotides) under Vreelandella stevensii. Its description in RNAcentral is "partial 16S ribosomal RNA". It matches the Rfam family "Bacterial small subunit ribosomal RNA", at positions 338 to 795 of the family's 1533-position model. The record is from RNAcentral. Lineage: Bacteria; Pseudomonadati; Pseudomonadota; Gammaproteobacteria; Oceanospirillales; Halomonadaceae.